Molecule: long non-coding RNA, 1433 nt
Organism: Cryptotermes secundus
Lineage: Eukaryota; Metazoa; Arthropoda; Insecta; Blattodea; Kalotermitidae
Exons: 3
Source: RefSeq, a predicted model, not a curated record
AUAGCCGCAAAAACUGUGCGUGAAGGUGGUGUAAGUUGCCCGUGAAAGUGGAGCUGUAAACUCUUCCAACUUAACCUAUUAGAAGUCGAUGUAAAUGAGAUGCCCAGACAAGUGGCCCAGAAUGCCGGGAGGAAAAAGAAGUGGGAGCAAGGUACUUUUUGGUAAAUCAUAGGACGUUGUGAAAUUUGAUAGGAAUGGUUGUCUACGUUAUAGAAGUUGGAUACUUGUGAGGAAUAUCAAAGUUUAUAUAUCCUGCAGUUGUGAAUGUGGGGAUAUUGUGUAAAGUGUGGGAGGUUGGAGGUUUUUGGGAAUGUGAAGGUUAAUAAGUAUUAGAAAUACUUACAUAUGUGAGAUAUCUUGAAACAUAGAAUCGCUCUUGGAUACAUAGUGAUAUGAUGCACCAGUUAAUCUGUCCGAGCUGUGCCAGUAUGUGGAGUGAGGCGAUGCUUCAACUGAAGAGAACGCCUCGGGUGCAGACUGAUAUUACCUGCUCCUUUAAGUGAAUAAUGUAGCUCUAGAUGAUAGCGACAGAUAAUUGAGAGUGGGUGCAGGAGGGAGGAGUGGAUUUGAUUCUACGUAUGUGGUAUCUGCCUACUGUUUAGGAGAAUCCACGUCCUCUUGGAUAACAUGGGUCUGAAUAUCUGAGUUCCAUUUAUGUGCUGGCACCAUGAUCUGCAGGCUUACCAGUGUCAGCACGGAAUAUACAGCAUCAGGGAAUUAUUUUCUUUCCAUCCAUUAAAUUGCUUACAGAAUCAGAUUGUGUACUGGAAAACACGAGUUGUUACAGACGACAUUCUAGUAAUCGUAUUUUAUAGUCUAGUCUAGAGCAUGUGUAGUGAUGUGUACUUUUUUGUAUUAAUGAUUAGAAGAAUGUUGAAUGAUAUUUUCAUAGGAUCAGAUUGUAAUCAGUGAUUUCCCUAUAAAAUAUUUGAGCACAAGUAUUAUGGGGUGGAUACCGUUCAUAUAAAGUAAAUGUAUAUCCUUCACAAAUGUCGAAAAACAUAAUAAAGAUAAUAAUUGGAAAACUUUGAAAAGAGAAUAAUUCGGGAACUGUUGGAUAUUGAAAGGGUCAGUGAAGAUAAUUGUGAUAUGCACUUGAUAGCGUUUUGAAUUGUCAAUAUUACGGAAAAAUGCAUUUAAGACCAUUUUUAAUAUCGUGAUGUAUUCCAGGUUUCAUAGAUUACGCAGAGACUUUAACAGAAAAACAUAUGCAAGAGUAUAUCAUGUGAGAAAAUUCGGAAAUAAAAUGUCCCAUAUAAAUAAUGAUUUCAUACGCUAUCAUGGACAUUCAAUCGUAAGAUAUUUCCGAGGGCUAAACCGUGCUCAACUGACUAAUUAUGCGCAGUAUUAAUCUGCGCACACCUAUCAUAAUGUACGCUCACAACCUAACAUUAGUGUAAAUUACCGAGCUGUAGUGUGUAGUGAAAGACAAU